Molecule: long non-coding RNA, 2922 nt
Filed under: Taeniopygia guttata (zebra finch)
Lineage: Eukaryota; Metazoa; Chordata; Aves; Passeriformes; Estrildidae
Description: lncRNA (ENSTGUG00000024591.1)
Source: RNAcentral
UUUAAAGUUAGAAAGUGUAUGUUUAUUCGACGCCGGGCAGCGUGCAGGAUAGCUCCCAAAUACACACCGCGCCUUCCAGGUGAUUACAGAGUCUUUUUAUCCAUUCAAGUAUUGAAUACCCAAAAUACAAAUACAUAUUCAUCAUUUUGGUACAUCCCAUUCCCUGCUUUGUAUGCUAAUCACUCCAAAAGCUAUUAAGCAUGCGUAGUUUGUCCCUUGAAAUGGGUCGGUGGUCUCUUUCAUGGGGAGGGGUCCAAAAGUGAGGAAGUAAAUGAAAUCUUCCUCGUUCUGACCUUUCUACCUUUUCAAUGCAAGUAUGACAAAUGAACUCUUGGUAGAACUCCCAUUCCUUGUCUUCAAUUGCUUUCAGAACAGAGGAGGCUCACAAUUGUCUUAUGUUCCUAAAAGCUAUUUGUCAGUUUCUAUAUUCUUCAUUAUAAACCCAGCUAACUAAACAUUGUGCUGACAAGCAAUUAAUUAUUAGUUAACUACUAACUCCUAACUUCAUCAAGGCCUACUUAUUUAUUAUUAUUAUUUUAAUUAUCUCUACUAAGGCUUAUUUCUAACUAAAAUCAUGGCUCCUCUAAAAUCUCUAAAUUCCUUAAAGUUUAUGUUUCAUUCCGCACUACUUCUUUGGAAUGAGUAAAUUCUUUUAUUCAGUAUAUAGACUUUUCUUCAUCUGCCCAAGACAUGUGUCUAGUUUCUUUCAAAACUAAACCAUAUGCUUUUGAUAGUGAAGUUAGGGCCGUCAUUCGUUGUAUAAUUUUCCAAUUCCAAACAAGUAUUACAACAGACAAAAUCAAGCUUAGACUAACUAAAAUAAGCAACACAAUAAUAGGAUGAAUUAAAGUAUUAAGUAUGCCGGUUGCUGUUGGUGACUAUCCAAAAAGCACAUCUCACCAAUGAUGAGACAAAUGUUCCUCAAAUCGCUUAAAAACUCCUUUGAUGGUUUCUGUGUCAUGGUGUAUAGUAAUUAAAGUCUUUUUCCCUGUGUCUCUAAUCUCCUUUAAAAUUUCUUUCAGUUCCUGAUGAUUUAACAAUUGAGCAACUAAAGUCAAAUUCAUUCCUAUGGGCACAGGCACUAUUUCUUGUACAGUAAUUAAAUUGGCUUUUAUAUAUUGGUGUAAUACUACAGGUGCCUGAUAUAAGAACUCACAUUCCUCAAUUUUGACAAAGUUACAGACACAUAGAUUGAACUGAGUCUCAUUCAUGCUUAGAUUGUCUAUCAUUAUGGUGGGGCAUGCUGUUCUGAGACAGACACAACCUUGUCCUAUAUAUAUAAGCAAAGUUGUUUAAUUGCCUGAAUGCGUUUCAAACUGGCAAAUGCUUUGGUCCGUAUCUAAACAUGUACCUUUAUUACUUUCUAAUGUCCCCUCACAUACGUAUCCUAGUUGUCUCCUCAUAGAACAGGGCUCUAGGUUGAUGGUUUGCCAUUUUCCUCUAAUUUCUCGUGCCCAUGUUCUAUGUUCAGAAGGAUGUAACACUGUCCCCUCAUUGUUUAAUCCUAGGGACAUUAUAGGAUGAAUUAAGGUCACUGAUGCAUUAUGUAUUGUUAAGACAAAGGCUGUUGCUUUACUUGUCAUAGGGUUAUAAGUGAAAUUAAUCGAAGUCCACCAAGCUUGCAGUUCCCUUUCUAUAUUAGAUGCACUAUCCCAAACAAUUUUACGGAGUUCAGCAGGGAAUAUUUCCUCCCCGCCUUCCCUGAUCACUGCAGCAGCGAUUGACUGCAUCCAUAGUUGUGCUUGAGUACACCCAAGAGCUAGUGAAACAUUUUCGCUAGCUGUGCCUAAUGCAUUAAUUAUUAAUUCAUGGUCUUGCUCUUCGGUGUUCUCCCAUUCUGGAAAUACUUUGGAUAACUUCCAAUGGUUGUCACCCAGUGCUAUUAGGGAAGAUUGUAAAGGUUGCUGUAAUUUAACCAAGUCGUUCCCUACUGUUGUUAAUUUAUUCAUCAAUACUUCUGAAUCUGUGGUAUUUAGCACUCCUAGUCCAGUCCCUAACAGAUCCCUUUUACUCUUAAAGUUGGAGGGCAUUUGUUUUUGAAGCCAAGUGGCCCAGUCCAUGAAAGGAUUUCUGAGAAAUGGGGCGCAUUCUGGCCGGACAUCUGAAGCAUUUACCUGUAUUCCCAUUUCUACUUGCUUCAGAGACCAUUCUGGAUUGACCAGCAGUCUUUGGAUUCCAAUUUUCUCUAGUAGCGUACGGCCCAAUUUUUGUAAUCGUAGGAACUUUAGGCUGCUCUUCUACUUCUGGGAUAAGUGGCUGUGGGGUAGUAACAGCUUUCUUUUGUGUCAGAGGGGUAGUUCUAGUCCUGUUCUUAUGAUAUUCAACACAUACUUGAGUGAUAUUAAAAUCAAGAUCAUACCCUCUUAUUGCACAUCCCUCUAAUUUUAGUCUAAAUUCGGGACAUUUACUCAAACAUUUGUCACAGCAUUCAGGGAUAAUCCGAAGGAGUUUCAUGAAUGGUUGGUAAGCCUCAUGGAACCCAUCUUGCACAAAUGCAUAGUUACAUCCUUAAACAUUUCUCCCUUCCCACAAACGUGCAUUUGUAACCUUUAUAAUCUCAUUUAGGGCCCUACGAGAGUGGGGAUCAUAGGCCCUUCCUUGACACCAGUAUAUUCCAGUUACGUUGUACUUGUGUGGUAUUGUAUUGGCUCCUCUUACAACUAUGGCAAUAGUUAUAAUAGUUACGACCUUCUCCAUCAUGUCUAUAAUUUCUAUAGGUCCAUUUAUUCACUGUUGCAGGUGAGCUUCAACCUCAGCUCAUUGUCACUUGGUGUCACUUUCCAGACUCCCUCAGGGACUUUCUUCACUCGGGUGUGAUGGAUCCAGGCCUUCUGUUCUUUGAUCUUGAUUGCAGUAAAGGUAGUGAGGAGCACCUGGUAGGGUCCUUCCCACUGUGGUUCCAGGCUUUUUUCUGCAAAAGAC